RNAcentral lists this ribosomal RNA (497 nucleotides) under uncultured bacterium. Its description in RNAcentral is "partial 16S ribosomal RNA". It matches the Rfam family "Bacterial small subunit ribosomal RNA", at positions 28 to 507 of the family's 1533-position model. The record is from RNAcentral.
GAUGAACGCUGGCGGCGUGCCUAAUACAUGCAAGUCGAGCGAACGGACGAGGAGCUUGCUUCUCUGAUGUUAGCGGCGGACGGGUGAGUAACACGUGGAUAACCUACCUAUAAGACUGGGAUAACUUCGGGAAACCGGAGCUAAUACCGGAUAAUAUUUUGAACCGCAUGGUUCAAUAGUGAAAGACGGUCUUGCUGUCACUUAUAGAUGGAUCCGCGCCGCAUUAGCUAGUUGGUAAGGUAACGGCUUACCAAGGCAACGAUGCGUAGCCGACCUGAGAGGGUGAUCGGCCACACUGGAACUGAGACACGGUCCAGACUCCUACGGGAGGCAGCAGUAGGGAAUCUUCCGCAAUGGGCGAAAGCCUGACGGAGCAACGCCGCGUGAGUGAUGAAGGUCUUCGGAUCGUAAAACUCUGUUAUUAGGGAAGAACAAAUGUGUAAGUAACUGCGCACGUCUUGACGGUACCUAAUCAGAAAGCCACGGCUAACUACGUG